Molecule: ribosomal RNA, 473 nt
Filed under: Halipegus mehransis
Lineage: Eukaryota; Metazoa; Platyhelminthes; Trematoda; Azygiida; Derogenidae
Description: partial 18S ribosomal RNA
Rfam family: Eukaryotic small subunit ribosomal RNA
Source: RNAcentral
AAUUAAAGAUGACAUCUCAGUUGAAUAGCCUGCAUGUCUAAGUACGGACCUUAAUACGGUGAAACCGCGAAUGGCUCAUUAAAUCAGCUAUGGUUCCUUAGAUCGUAUACACUACAUGGAUAACUGUAGUAAUUCUAGAGCUAAUACAUGCAACUAUGCCCUGACCCGUGAGGGAACGGGUGCAUUUAUUAGAACUCAACCUAUAUGGUCCUCCUGCUGUUUAAUUCUGUGAUGACUCUGGAUAACUUGCUAAUGAUCAACGGCCUUGUGUCGGCGACGGAUCUUUCAAAUGGCUGCUCUAUCAAUUGUCGAUGGUAGGUGAACCUGAGAAAGAUCAAACUGGUCGCGUUGUCUUAUGUGUUAUUCAAAUAAGGGCCCCAACCGAAGUGAGGGCCAUUCCCCCCCUCCCCCAAAAUAAAAACAAAAAAAAAUAUGUUGUUUUUUUUUUGGGGGAGAACAAAAAAAAAAAGGGG